RNAcentral lists this ribosomal RNA (253 nucleotides) under uncultured bacterium. Its description in RNAcentral is "partial 16S ribosomal RNA". It matches the Rfam family "Bacterial small subunit ribosomal RNA", at positions 524 to 776 of the family's 1533-position model. The record is from RNAcentral.
GACGAACCGAGCGAACGUUGUUCGGAAUCACUGGGCUUAAAGGGCGCGUAGGCGGGCUCGCCAGUCUGUGGUGAAAUCCCCCGGCUCAACCGGGGAAUGGCCGUGGAUACUGCGAGUCUCGAGGGAGGUAGGGGCGUGCGGAACAGAUGGUGGAGCGGUGAAAUGCGUUGAUAUCAUCUGGAACUCCGGUGGCGAAGGCGGCACGCUGGACCUCUUCUGACGCUGAGGCGCGAAAGCCAGGGGAGCAAACGGG